UGUUUCGGCUAGGGGGCCAUCCCGGCUUACCAACCCGAUGCAAACUGCGAAUACCGGAGAAUGUUAUCACGGGAGACACACGGCGGGUGCUAACGUCCGUCGUGAAGAGGGAAACAACCCAGACCGCCAGCUAAGGUCCCAAAGUCAUGGUUAAGUGGGAAACGAUGUGGGAAGGCCCAGACAGCCAGGAUGUUGGCUUAGAAGCAGCCAUCAUUUAAAGAAAGCGUAAUAGCUCACUGGUCGAGUCGGCCUGCGCGGAAGAUGUAACGGGGCUAAACCAUGCACCGAAGCUGCGGCAGCGAACGUAUCACUUAAAACGAUUCAGAAGCUUACGAUUGACGGAGCGAAGCGACGUCAAAGCGUAUACAAAGUCGAGUCGGUUUAAGGAUACGUUCGUUGGGUAGGGGAGCGUUCUGUAAGCCUGUGAAGGUGGCCUGUGAGGGUUGCUGGAGGUAUCAGAAGUGCGAAUGCUGACAUAAGUAACGAUAAAGCGGGUGAAAAGCCCGCUCGCCGGAAGACCAAGGGUUCCUGUCCAACGUUAAUCGGGGCAGGGUGAGUCGACCCCUAAGGCGAGGCCGAAAGGCGUAGUCGAUGGGAAACGGGUUAAUAUUCCCGUACUUGGUGUUACUGCGAAGGGGGGACGGAGAAGGCUAUGUUGGCCGGGC
Molecule: ribosomal RNA, 665 nt
Filed under: Salmonella enterica subsp. salamae
Lineage: Bacteria; Pseudomonadati; Pseudomonadota; Gammaproteobacteria; Enterobacterales; Enterobacteriaceae
Description: partial 23S ribosomal RNA
Rfam family: Bacterial large subunit ribosomal RNA
Source: RNAcentral